GACAGAGGUGCCGAGCGUUAGGCGGAAUCACUGGGCUUAAAGCGUGUGUAGGCGGGUCCGUAAGUACCUUGUGAAAUCCCACGGCUCAACCGUGGAACUGCUUGGUAUACUGCGGGUCUUGAGCCACCUAGGGGCAAGCGGAACAAACGGUGGAGCGGUGAAAUGCGUAGAUAUCGGGAGGAAUACCAGUGGCGAAGGCGGCUGCCUGGCCUGUUCUUGACGCUGAGGCGCGAAAGCUGGGGGAGCAAACGGG
RNAcentral lists this ribosomal RNA (253 nucleotides) under uncultured bacterium. RNAcentral's name for it is "partial 16S ribosomal RNA". It matches the Rfam family "Bacterial small subunit ribosomal RNA", at positions 524 to 776 of the family's 1533-position model. The record is from RNAcentral.